AUUGAACGCUGGCGGCAGGCCUAACACAUGCAAGUCGAGCGGAAACGAGUUAACUGAACCUUCGGGGAACGUUAACGGCGUCGAGCGGCGGACGGGUGAGUAAUGCCUGGGAAAUUGCCCUGAUGUGGGGGAUAACCAUUGGAAACGAUGGCUAAUACCGCAUAAUAGCUUCGGCUCAAAGAGGGGGACCUUCGGGCCUCUCGCGUCAGGAUAUGCCCAGGUGGGAUUAGCUAGUUGGUGAGGUAAUGGCUCACCAAGGCGACGAUCCCUAGCUGGUCUGAGAGGAUGAUCAGCCACACUGGGAACUGAGACACGGGUCCAGACUCCUACGGGAGCAGCAGUGGGGAAUAUUGCACAAUGGGCGCAAGCCUGAUGCAGCCAUGCCGCGUGUAUGAAGAAGGCCUUCGGGUUGUAAGUACUUUCAGCAGUGAGGAAGGGGGUUAAUAGC
This 448-nucleotide ribosomal RNA is filed under the name uncultured bacterium. RNAcentral describes it as "bacterial SSU rRNA". It matches the Rfam family "Bacterial small subunit ribosomal RNA", at positions 30 to 462 of the family's 1533-position model. The record is from RNAcentral.